Molecule: ribosomal RNA, 253 nt
Filed under: uncultured bacterium
Lineage: Bacteria
Description: partial 16S ribosomal RNA
Rfam family: Bacterial small subunit ribosomal RNA
Source: RNAcentral
UACGAAGGUCCCGAGCGUUGUUCGGAAUUACUGGGCGUAAAGAGUGUGUAGGCGGUGCUCUAAGUUCGGUGUGAAAUCUCCCGGCUUAACUGGGAGGGUGCGCCGGAAACUGGAGUGCUCGAGCGUGGGAGAGGAAAGCGGAAUUCCUGGUGUAGCGGUGAAAUGCGUAGAUAUCAGGAGGAACACCUGCGGUGUAGACGGCUUUCUGGACCAUUGCUGACGCUGAGACACGAAAGCGUGGGUAGCAAACAGG